AAACAAUCAAUGGUCAUCAAUAUUUCAAUUUUAAGCAGAAGGCAGUAGGUAAGCCUUUUAGACUGGCGGUUACCUGCGGCACUACUACUUAUAACUGAAAGAGACCCCUGGAAUAGUAAGAUCAGAAUGACGACUUUUGCCUUCCCAUUCAAUCCUUUUAUAACAGUGCUAGAGAGCCGAGAGAAAAAAAGAAAUAUCGUGCUGGAAGCUGUGCACACAAAGAUUGCUACAGUGGCUCUCUCGUUUUCUCGGCGUCUCUCUAUUCACCAUACUAUUUCCGGGAUGUAGGGGGGUGCCACGACUAUUAUUAGUAGGGGCCUGUAUAUGCAUAUGAUUUUAUAAUAAUAAAAGAAUCCCCGCUGUG
Non-coding RNA from Caenorhabditis elegans, 364 nucleotides. The record is from Ensembl. Lineage: Eukaryota; Metazoa; Nematoda; Chromadorea; Rhabditida; Rhabditidae.